RNAcentral lists this ribosomal RNA (953 nucleotides) under Sarcophaga vicina. RNAcentral's name for it is "eukaryotic LSU rRNA". It matches the Rfam family "Eukaryotic large subunit ribosomal RNA", at positions 122 to 898 of the family's 3401-position model. Lineage: Eukaryota; Metazoa; Arthropoda; Insecta; Diptera; Sarcophagidae. The record is from RNAcentral.
CUUUGUCUUUAUGGCAAAUGUGAGAUGCAGUGUAUGGAAUGUCAAAUUUCUAGUAUGAGAAAUUAACGAUUUAAGUCCUUCUUAAAUGAGGCCAUUUACCCAUAGAGGGUGCCAGGCCCGUAUAACGUUAAUGAUUACUAGAUGGCAUUUCCAAAGAGUCGUGUUGCUUGAUAGUGCAGCACUAAGUGGGUGGUAAACUCCAUCUAAAACUAAAUAUAACCAUGAGACCGAUAGUAAACAAGUACCGUGAGGGAAAGUUGAAAAGAACUCUGAAUAGAGAGUUAAAUAGUACGUGAAACUGCUUAGAGGUUAAGCCCGAUGAACCUGAAUAUCCAUUAUAGAAAAUUCAUCAUUAUGAUUUUAAUAUUAAUAAUAUUAUAAUAAUGGUGUGCAUUUUUUCUAUAACGGACAUUGUAAUCUAUUAACAUAAAUAUAUUUAUCAUAAGAUCAAUGAUGCGUAAGUUUAUUUAAAUUAUUUUGCUUGCAAUUUAACAUAGAAUAAAUGCUCUUGAUUUGAUAAAGUGUUGAUAGAUUUAUUGUAUAUAGUGCUUAAAUAUUUAUAUUUUAUAAUAGCAUAUUAAUCAUUGAUUUUUAUGUUUAUUAUAUGCACUUAUAUGAUUAACAAUGCGAAAGAUUCAGGAUACCUUCGGGACCCGUCUUGAAACACGGACCAAGGAGUCUAACAUAUUUGCAAGUUAUUGGGUAUCAAAACCUAAUAGCGAAAUUAACAUAACUUUAAUGGGAUUAGUUUUUAGAUUAUUUUUAUAGUCUAUUAAUUCAAUCCCGGGGCGUUCUAUAUAGUUAUGUAUAAUAAUAUUUAUAUUAUUUAUACCUCUAACUAGAGCGUACCUUGAGCAUAUAUGCUGUGACCCGAAAGAUGGUGAACUAUACUUGAUCAGGUUGAAGUCAGGGGAAACCCUGAUGGAAGACCGAAACAGUUCUGACGUGCAAAU